UGCAAGUCGUGGGGCAGCAGGUGUAGCAAUACAUGCUGGCGACCGGCAAACGGGUGCGGAACACGUACGCAACCUUCCUUUAACUGGAGAAUAGCCCCUCGAAAGAGGGAUUAAUAAUCCGUAACAUAUUGAUAAGGCAUCUUAUUAAUAUUAUAGCUCCGGCGGUUAAAGAUGGGCGUGCGCCUGAUUAGGUAGUUGGCGGGGUAACGGCCCACCAAGCCUUCGAUCAGUAACUGGUGUGAGAGCACGACCAGUCACACGGGCACUGAGACACGGGCCCGACUCCUACGGGAGGCAGCAGUAAGGAAUAUUGGUCAAUGGACGCAAGUCUGAACCAGCCAUGCCGCGUGGAGGAUUAAGGCCCUCUGGGUUGUAAACUCCUUUUAUCUGGGAAGAAAUGCUUUGAUUCUUCGAAGCUUGACGGUACCAGAGGAAUAAGCACCGGCUAACUCCGUGCCAGCAGCCGCGGUAAUACGGAGGGUGCAAGCGUUAUCCGGAUUCACUGGGUUUAAAGGGUGCGUAGGCGGGUAAGUAAGUCCGUGGUGAAAUCUCUGAGCUUAACUCAGAAACUGCCGUGGAUACUAUUUGCCUUGAAUAUUGUGGAGGUGAGCGGAAUAUGUCAUGUAGCGGUGAAAUGCUUAGAUAUGACAUAGAACACCAAUUGCGAAGGCAGCUCACUACACAAUUAUUGACGCUGAGGCACGAAAGCGUGGGGAUCAAACAGGAUUAGAUACCCUGGUAGUCCACGCCCUAAACGAUGAUUACUCGACAUCAGCGAUACACUGUUGGUGUCUGAGCGA
This 800-nucleotide ribosomal RNA is filed under the name uncultured Sphingobacteriales bacterium. RNAcentral's name for it is "bacterial SSU rRNA". It matches the Rfam family "Bacterial small subunit ribosomal RNA", at positions 56 to 854 of the family's 1533-position model. The record is from RNAcentral. Lineage: Bacteria; Pseudomonadati; Bacteroidota; Sphingobacteriia; Sphingobacteriales.